CGAUUGAGUUUGAUCCUGGCUCAGGAUGAACGCUGGCGGCGUGCCUAACACAUGCAAGUCGAACGGGGUAUAUAAGCGGAAGUUUACGGAUGGAAGGUUAUAUACUUAGUGGCGGACGGGUGAGUAACGCGUGGGCAACCUGCCCCGUGCCGGGGGAUACCGCCUGGAAACAGGCGCUAAUACCGCAUAAGCGCAUACAGCCGCAUGGGUGUAUGCGGAAAGCUCCGGCGGCACGGGAUGGGCCCGCGCCCGAUUAGCCAGUUGGCGGGGUAACGGCCCACCAAAGCGACGAUCGGUAGCCGGCCUGAGAGGGCGGACGGCCACAUUGGGACUGAGACACGGCCCAAACUCCUACGGGAGGCAGCAGUGGGGAAUAUUGCACAAUGGGGGAAACCCUGAUGCAGCAACGCCGCGUGGGUGAAGGAGCGUUUCGGCGCGUAAAGCCCUGUCAGCGGGGAAGAAGAAAGACGGUACCCGACCAAGAAGCCCCGGCUAACUACGUGCCAGCAGCCGCGGUAAUACGUAGGGGGCGAGCGUUAUCCGGAAUUACUGGGUGUAAAGGGAGCGUAGACGGCGAGGUAAGCCUGAAGUGGAAGCCCGCGGCCCAACCGCGGAACUGCUUUGGGAACUGUUUUGCUGGAGUAUGGGAGGGGUAAGCGGAAUUCCUGGUGUAGCGGUGAAAUGCGUANAUAUCAGGAGG
RNAcentral lists this ribosomal RNA (700 nucleotides) under uncultured bacterium. Its description in RNAcentral is "bacterial SSU rRNA". It matches the Rfam family "Bacterial small subunit ribosomal RNA", at positions 1 to 704 of the family's 1533-position model. The record is from RNAcentral.